Long non-coding RNA from Cyprinus carpio carpio, 1384 nucleotides. The record is from Ensembl. NCBI's taxonomy places the organism in Eukaryota, Metazoa, Chordata, Actinopteri, Cypriniformes, Cyprinidae.
GCACACGUGAACCGGUGGAGCCUCGGUCAUUUUUGUGAACUGCUGGUUUCACGAGCGGCUCUAGUACUCAGAGUGCUGUUCUCUGCAGAGGUCUGAGAGCGGAUCCCACAGAAGGUGAAUGCAGAGGUCUGAGAGCGGAACAGGAAGCAGAUCUGCAGUGAUUCGCAGCUGUUUCUGCUCAGUCAUUAACAUAUUCAUCUCUCGGCAGAGCAGCAGGAGUAGAGGAGUGUUCGCUCUUCUCAGUCCACUGAGUGUUUCUGUGGAAGCUGAAGGAUCUCAGAUGGUUGUGCUGGGAAACUGUUCCGCGUCUGCUCUCAUCUGUCUGUCAGCGGAUGCUCAGGCGUUUGCUCUGAUUGUUCUGGAUUAUUGUGUUUGGCCGGAGGGAUGCAGUCCAGCCCCUAAAGGUCAACGGCACGAGUGGCAUUUGGGUUCUGACAGGCGACCCAGAUUCACUGAUCUUCAUGUUCUGUUGCAGUCAGAGACGUGACUCCUGGAGAGUGUGCUUCAGUUUCUCCUGAGGAGAGGAUACACCAGCCUUCAGAGCAGUGACAGACCUUCAUACACACACACACACACACACACACACACACACACACACACACACACACACUCACACUCACACACACACACACACACACAAACACACUCACACACACACACACACACUCCAUUCAGCUCAAGUCAGUCAGGCUGUUUGUUUCAUACCAGUGUGUGUGUGUGUGUGUGUGUGUGUGUGUGUGUGUGUGUUUAGCUAUUUUAAGCAUGUUUUGGGGACAUCCUCUUCUGUAAACACACCAUAAAAUAAAUAGAGGUUUGUGAGAUUUUUAUUGGUUAAAAUGCUGAACAUGUUCGUGUUUUCUUAUGGUAUUUAUUAUAACUAGUGGUAAGUAAAAACAGUAAGUCUGUGGAAUGUGUCCGCUGAUCUAAGACUGUCAACAUGACACAGAUAUAAUAUAUGAUGUUUACUCUGAUCAGCAGAGGUGAUUUAACAACUUCUUUUUUCUUUCCACAGUUAUAUAUAUUAAAUGUUUUAUUGUCUCUGUCUGGAUGUAAGUGAAGAAUUAUUUGUAAGUUUUGUUUUUUCAGGUUCUGAUGAUUAAUGUGUACACAUGCACCUCAUUAUUAAUGUGCUUUUCCAUUAAUGACUGCUGUCUGUUUCUGUUGAACUAUCGGUGUGUGUGCAUUCAUCUCUUCAAAGAUGUGUUCAAAUGUAUUAUUUUCUGGGCUGUUUCAAAUAUGAAAAAAUAUUGUUAACAUGUUUCUUUAUGCUCAAAGAAAUAUAGUGUCACAAAUCGACUGAUUUAACACAAAUGCCGACAUCUGUCUGCGUGUAGCUGUGUGUGUUUUUCUGACUGUGUGUGUGUUUGUGUUCUGAGAUCCAGAG